This is a long non-coding RNA of Miniopterus natalensis, 1399 nucleotides long. RefSeq lists it as uncharacterized. The record is from RefSeq and is a predicted model, not a curated record. Lineage: Eukaryota; Metazoa; Chordata; Mammalia; Chiroptera; Miniopteridae.
GCGAGCCGCUGCACCCCGGUCGGGUCUGCGCGGAGAGGCUGCGGAAAUCCCGCGGUCCCUACACUUGUUCACAUCCAUUGACUAUCGUUGACUGCAUGGAAAUGAACGGGCGGUCGGCAGCCGUGGGAGGGAGACGCCGAGCAGGUCCCCACCCCGGGGCUCUCGGGCCCCGCGGGUCUUAACCUACCUGGGCGCUCGGGCUGGGAACCUAGCCCCAGGCCCCGACCAACCGGGCAGACCCUGUAUCACCGGUCUUAGGGGGAGGGGUCUGCUGUUUUUUGCUGUUUCUAUGGCUAUUGUGAAGCCAUCACAGGCCACUCUAAACAGGGACCUCAAAUUCACCUCUUGCCCCUGAGGGCACACUCAGAAGGCAAAUUAUUUUUAAGUAGAAAUGCCCUUGACAGAUUGGACCCGAGGAGAAUCAUUCAAACAUCAAUUAGAAGACUGAGAUGAAUCAGUUAACAUUCAGGGAGUUAACACAUUGAACAGUGGGACAAUUGAACCUGCUAGCAUACCCAGAAUCCGUGUGGAUAAACUACCUAGAAAGCAAUGUACAUACAUGCUAUGUGAAGCCUUUUCACCAGUCAGUCCUGGGUGCUUUCUCAGAAGCCAUCAGCCUCCAGGGUAUAUUUCAUUGGAUCUCAAAGGGCAGAACUGUGAAGCUGUCCGUGUCACCUGUAAUCACUCCUCCAGCCGCUGCCAUCGGUGUUUCGUGAGCACCACGCUACUGAAAUGGAGCUUAUUAAAGUCACCAGAUACUUUCACUUUGAAAAACUCCUCAGGCCAGCUUGCUACCUGUCACUGGUUUGCCUGCUUCCUUAGUCUUGGCUGAAGCAUCUCCCCCCCUAAGCUCUCCGGCAUCACGGCCCUCCUGAUGUCACCCUGCCACAGCAGCGCCUCUGUCCCCGUCUCCUCCGCUCCUCAGGACUCUCUCUCGUGACCUCAUCCAGGCCAUGCUCUUGGAUACCUGCCAUAUGCUUAUGACUCCCGAGUACAUCCAGUCCUGACCUUUCCACUGAUUUCCAGGCUCAUGUAUCCAGCGACCUACCGGACAGCUCCUCCUGGAGAAUUAACAGGCAUCUCGGGCUCAGCGUUUCCACGGUGGAGCUCCUGGAUCCCGGCCGCUCCCCUUCCCACCGCCUCUGUCCCAGGGUGCUAUUCAUCAUCAGUAAAUAGCCCCACGACACACCCGGGUCAGAAAAAGUGGCACUUAUCCUUCAUCCUGUUUUCCUUGUGACUUACAUUCAACCAUAGACAAGCCCUGUCUGUGACACCUCCAGUACAGCCCAAAGGUGGCCACUUUUCAUCAGUUCCACUGUCUGCACUGACUUCUGACUCCAAUAACUUUCUUUUGCAAUCAGAAUAAAAUCCAAACUCCUUUACAUGGUCCACAGACCUA